UAUAUUGCAGGUGAGGAAGGAAAAGUUGGGGUGUAGAAUUACAACGCUUCACCAGCUUGUUUCACCAUUUGGGAAGACUGACACGGCCUCUGUCUUGUUAGAGGCUAUUGGGUACAUUAGGUUCCUUCAGAGUCAGAUUGAGGCUCUCAGCUUACCGUACACGGGCAGUGGAUCAUCGGGAAAAAUGAUGAUGAUGCGUGCUAAUUAAUAAC
This is a long non-coding RNA of Hibiscus syriacus, 212 nucleotides long. RefSeq lists it as uncharacterized. Lineage: Eukaryota; Viridiplantae; Streptophyta; Magnoliopsida; Malvales; Malvaceae. The record is from RefSeq and is a predicted model, not a curated record. The transcript has 3 exons.